GGCCUCGCGCGACAGGAGCGGCCGAUGUCUGAUUAGCUAGUUGGUGGGGUAAAAGCCUACCAAGGCGACGAUCAGUAGCUGGUCUGAGAGGACGAUCAGCCACACUGGGACUGAGACACGGCCCAGACUCCUACGGGAGGCAGCAGUGGGGAAUUUUGGACAAUGGGGGCAACCCUGAUCCAGCAAUGCCGCGUGUGUGAAGAAGGCCUUCGGGUUGUAAAGCACUUUUGUCCGGAAAGAAAACCUUCGCCCUAAUACGGUGGAGGGAUGACGGUACCGGAAGA
This 284-nucleotide ribosomal RNA is filed under the name Burkholderiaceae bacterium N52. Its description in RNAcentral is "partial 16S ribosomal RNA". It matches the Rfam family "Bacterial small subunit ribosomal RNA", at positions 209 to 485 of the family's 1533-position model. The record is from RNAcentral. Lineage: Bacteria; Pseudomonadati; Pseudomonadota; Betaproteobacteria; Burkholderiales; Burkholderiaceae.